Long non-coding RNA from Xenia sp. Carnegie-2017, 450 nucleotides. RefSeq lists it as uncharacterized. NCBI's taxonomy places the organism in Eukaryota, Metazoa, Cnidaria, Anthozoa, Malacalcyonacea, Xeniidae. The record is from RefSeq and is a predicted model, not a curated record. The transcript has 2 exons.
GUUCCAUUAUCAAUGUAGUAUUCCAGAAAUUGUAAAACUGUUAAAGAUAAAUGGGGUUUUGUCAAUUACAAGUGCUUCAGUUGAGAGGUCAUUUUAUUGUUUGAAGAGGGUAAAAAAUUAUCUUAGAAAUACUAUGAGCCAAGGACGUUUUAGUUCUCUUUGCAGGAUUUCCAUUCACAAAGACAUACUGUCAGAGAAAGAAGACGCCAACACAUUGCAUGAUGAGGUAUUCAUAUAUGGCUGAUAGCAAGCUGAUGAUGUCUUACGUCCAUGGCAUGUGAGAAUUUUUCCGGGAACUUUUUAAUGCAGUCAAUGAUGAUUGUCAUUUCAGCACGACAAUUUCAUCACAACUUUUGAUAGUUGUUGAUGACAAAUCUGAGCCUUUUUCGGUUCUUUUGUCAAAGUUUCUUUACAAGAUGUACAUAGGUAUCUAUUUAUGUAUGUAGUGUU